Non-coding RNA from Nicotiana tabacum (common tobacco), 1573 nucleotides. NCBI's taxonomy places the organism in Eukaryota, Viridiplantae, Streptophyta, Magnoliopsida, Solanales, Solanaceae. The record is from RefSeq and is a predicted model, not a curated record.
AGUCUACUAUGUGUUCUUGAUGCUUGUAACGUUUAUUUACUUGAUAAUGCCUUUCUUUGUUGAGAUUCAAUUUAAGUAUGAUAAAUAUGUGUCUGCACUAUCCUUUCAUAAUCCAAUUUAACAUGUUCUUCUCUUAUGUUUUCUAGGUUGUUAACAAUUCCGGCGAUAUUCUUGAAAUGAAACAAGAAGAAUAUAAACUGUUUGGUGAAGAUGUUGAUCGAGCUCAUGCAUAAACCCAUAUGAGUAUCUGUUAAUCAGGAUAUGCCUUUUUCUUUGAUAAUGCCUUUCUUUUUUCAUUGUUGAGAUUUAAUAAAAGAACUUCCUGUAUGAUUUGUGUCUUGUCUAUCCUUUUAUCAUUGUAGACUAUCUUGUGCUUCUUCUGUUCCAUUUUGUCAUUUGUUCUAGUAUCCGCUCUAACGUUGUGCAUGUUAUUGGGUGUUCAAAUUUCCUUUUCUCUUUAGGUCCCCCGUCCCUACCGACCCCCCUGCUACUCAGUAGAAAACAACACCUAUGUUCUAGUUUCAAGAAAUUUUGGAUCGAUUAUAUGAAUUCUCACUUUCCACAUGUCGCCCAUUUAAGCACGCCUCGGACACUAAGGAGUACAACAACAAUAAAUCCAGUAUAAUUCCACAUAAAGAGGUCUCAGGAGGAUAGAGUGUUCGCAGACCUUAACCCUACCUUGUGAAGGUAGAGAAGUUGUUUCGAUAGAUCCCGACUCAAGGAAAAAAUUGAAAAGAAGCACAAAUAACAGUUAAUAACAACAACAAGAUAGGUGAUAAAGAGAUAGAAUAAUCGAAGCAAACGAACCAACAAAUAGUAAAAGAAAUUUACGGAUAAGAAAAUACAAACAUACAAGACUAAUACUGAUGCAACCGUCAUGAAAAUAUAUACUUACCUUCUGAGGAAUGAGUGAGAAUAAUAAGGGUUGUGUUAACCCCCCUCCCCCAAAAAAAGAAAAUAUAUGAUUAUUGUUUUUCAUUUGGUUUAUGAUUUAUGAUGCCACUAAUUUGUUUCUUCUUUAUUGUUUUUCAUUUGGUUGAUUGUUUCUCUCUAGGUGGUCGACAUUUCCGAUGAUAUUCUUGAAAUCAAACAAGAAUUUCCUCUUCUGUUUGGUGAAGAUACCAAUCGAGGUCGUGUAGAUGCCGAUGUGCAGGUCCAGUCUCAGACUCGUUAUUCUGAGCCACAGUUUGCAAGAACUCCAAUCUCUUCCAACCUAGGGGAGUCGACUGUACGCGAUUUGGAACGAAAGAGAAGUUGGGGCAAAAAGAGAAGCAAUAGAAAAACUUCCCGGGUUAGUGCCCCAGGCCAGCGCAACGCGCCUGCCCGUGACUUGGUUUUGACGGCCCUACAUUACCUCAACUCGUCUAAAAGGAGUUCUAACACUAAUUUGGAGGGAGAGACGCAACUUUGAGAGUAGAAUACACGCACGGAACACUAGGGAGCAAGGAUUAUUAGUUUUCCUUCAUUCUUAGUAUUUUCAAUCAUUCAAACAAUUGUGAAAUUGUUUAGUACUAUCAUGAGUGGCUAUGACUCAUUAGUUUCGGAGUUGUGAUUUAGCCAUGAAUAUUGUUGU